Molecule: non-coding RNA, 71 nt
Organism: Desmophyllum pertusum
Lineage: Eukaryota; Metazoa; Cnidaria; Anthozoa; Scleractinia; Caryophylliidae
Source: the annotation of a GenBank genome assembly
GACGUGGUGGCUAAUGGUUAGCGUGUUGGACUCCAGAUCGAGCGGUCUGGGUUCAAGCCCUGGCGGGGUCA